This 315-nucleotide ribosomal RNA is filed under the name uncultured bacterium. RNAcentral's name for it is "bacterial SSU rRNA". It matches the Rfam family "Bacterial small subunit ribosomal RNA", at positions 28 to 334 of the family's 1533-position model. The record is from RNAcentral.
GACGAACGCUGGCGGCGUGCUUAACACAUGCACGUCGAACGGAAAGGCCUGCUUUCCCUUGUGGAUUGCGGGUACUCGAGUGGCGAACGGGUGAGUAAUAUAUCGGAACGUGCCCAGUCGUGGGGGAUAACUACUCGAAAGAGUAGCUAAUACCGCAUACGACCUGAGGGUGAAAGCGGGGGAUCGCAAGACCUCGCGCGAUUGGAGCGGCCGAUAUCAGAUUAGGUAGUUGGUGGGGUAAAAGCUCACCAAGCCAACGAUCUGUAGCUGGUCUGAGAGGACGACCAGCCACACUGGGACUGAGACACGGCCCAG